Molecule: ribosomal RNA, 324 nt
Filed under: uncultured eukaryote
Lineage: Eukaryota
Description: partial 18S ribosomal RNA
Rfam family: Eukaryotic small subunit ribosomal RNA
Source: RNAcentral
CCCUUAGAUGUUCUGGGCUGCACGCGCGCUACACUGAAGCUAUCAACACGUUUUCCCUCCCUGAGAAGGGCGGGUAACCGUUUGAAUCAGCUUCGUGGUAGGGAUCGGGGCUUGCAAUUGUUCCCCGUGAACCAGGAAUUCCUAGUAGACGCGAGUCAUAAGCUCGCAUCGAUUAAGUCCCUGCCCUUUGUACACACCGCCCGUCGCUACUACCGAUUGAACGUUUUAGUGAGGCAUUUGGACCGACGCAUCUCAGUUUAACCGCUGGUUUGUGUUGGAAAGACUUCCAAACUUGAGCGUUUAGAGGAAGUAAAAGUCGUAACA